Molecule: ribosomal RNA, 783 nt
Filed under: Triticum aestivum (bread wheat)
Lineage: Eukaryota; Viridiplantae; Streptophyta; Magnoliopsida; Poales; Poaceae
Description: partial small subunit ribosomal RNA
Source: RNAcentral
AUGUACCUUCGUUGUGCCGUUCAUGACAACCCCAAGCAUUGGCGCAAGUGGCUGCCAACUGCGGAGUUCUGGUACAACACCUCGUACCAUUCCUCGCUGAACACUUCUCCUUUUCAAGCUCUGUACGGCAAAGAAGCAAACCUUGGGGGACUGCCAGCGAUUGCAACUCACUUGCCCGAGCACACAGGGGAUGAACUGGACUGGGUCACUCACAACGACAAGCUACGCGCGCAACUGGCCCAUGCACAGAACCGAUGCAAGCAACAGGCAGACAGACACAGGAUUGAGCGCUCGUUUAAUGUGGGUGAUCAAGUGCUGCUCAAACUCCAGCCAUAUGUCCAAUCCACAGUGGCCAACCGCCCCUGUCCCAAGCUGGCAUAUAAAUUCUUUGGCCCCUUCACGGUUGAGCAGCGCGUGGGCGCCAUGGCGUACAAGCUGGAGCUACCACAGAACAGUCGCAUUCACCCCGUCUUUCAUGUUUCGCAGCUCAAGCCGUUCACGCAAGACUACUCGCCGGUCUUCUCCGAGCUUCCACGCACACCUGACCUGUCCGCUGCACCUCUGCAGCCGGUGGCCAUCCUCGAGCGCCGCAUGGUCAAGAAGGGGAGCAGUGCAAUCGUCCAGGUACGCGUCUAGUGGUCAUCAUUGUCACCUGAUUCGGCUACAUGGGAGGACUACACCAUGCUGCGUCACCGCUACCCACAGGCUCCUUGCUGGGAUAAUGUCGCUUCCGCUCAAGGAGGAGAGCAUGUCACACCUGAUGCUUCCACAUUGGUGGACUAG